This 12713-nucleotide long non-coding RNA is filed under the name Nicotiana benthamiana. RNAcentral describes it as "long non-coding RNA (NBEN_LNC025134)". Lineage: Eukaryota; Viridiplantae; Streptophyta; Magnoliopsida; Solanales; Solanaceae. The record is from RNAcentral.
CCUAAUUUUCGGACAUAUCUCAUAAUAAUUCAAACUCAUCACACAUUACACGUAACACAAGAUAGGCAUGGGGAACACAAUAAUAGGUGUGGGGGACACACGAAUUGGGGGGGAGAAUAAUUCAUGGACAAAAAUGUGAGGACUUCAGAUUUUUUGGACACAUUUUCGAACACUACACCUUAGAAAAAAUAUACUAUCAUACAUCUUCUUGAUUUUUUUUUAAAAACCAAACGAAACCCUAAUGAAAACGAAAGGUCCUUCACGUUCAAAACCUCCUGCCUCACGCCAAACGACCAACCGCACUGCCCGUGACAUUCUUGUCGACCAGCCAUAGCAGCGAACACCGCCUGAACAGCCACCCUGCUAGCCAUUCUCGUCAAUCUCUAACCCGUCGUCCCUCACCCCAGCUGACCUCCCGUUUACACCCAAACAAACAGAGGCGGAUCCAAGAUUUAAAUUCUAUGGGUUCAAAUCUACUAUUUUUGCAAUUUUAAUAAAUUUUUACAUAUAAAUUUCUAUUCCGCGUCGAAAGCUAUGGGUUCAAUUGAACCCGUACCUUUCAAGCUAGAUCCUCCUGUGCAGUCAAACCCUCCAGUUGAAACCACGCCAAAUAGCCCUGCACCACGAUGAGCAGCAGUGAAACCACCAACCCCGCCUGCUUCCAACUACUGCUGCUUCCCCGCCGUCCUACUGCCUGAACUCCACGUCGAACCACUUGUUGUUUCUCCCAGUUUGUCGAGGUUCCGCGUCGAGUCGUUGUUCGUGGUUCCGGUCUGGUUCGAGAUCUGUACGGAGAGGUCAAAGUUUGAGAUCUUCAGAAAAGGUUCAUUUUCUCGUUGUAUACGUUGAAAAUACGCAGAAAUAAAGGUGCUUCUUUCCCGAUAUUGUUCUUCUCGCUAAUGUUUUGGAUCGUUUCGUAUUUGAUUUAGUUUUGUAUGGUUCAGACAAUUUUUGUAAAUAUAUGAUUAUAUUUAGUUUUGUAUGAUUCAGACGAUUUUUGUAAAUAUAUGAUUAUGUUGAAUAUGUGAUUUCACAAUUAAUGGUGGCCUUGUAAUGUUGAAAUUAGCUAAUAAAAUAACUAAUCUUUCAAAUGCUCGCCAAUUAGUUAUGAUUUCGUUGUUUAUGUAAUUGUUCGUCCUAGUCUUGAAUUUGCUCACUUAGUCAUCUACCUGUAUGUUUAUCUGAAUUGGUUAUAGCUGGAUACAAUAUUGUUGUAAUAUAGAUAUUUGGCCAGCUGUGGGUUUUAAGUUAGAUGGCGGAUUCAAAUUAAAAGAGGCUUCCUUUUGUUUGAGUCUAGACUUGAACUUGAAACCCGAAUUUUAUAAAACCAAUUUGGGCUCUUUCUUUUAUUAAUAGGGACAAAUAAAAAUAAAAAAUCAUAGUUUACUUUAGGAUUGCCCUUUUAAAUAAUAAAAUGAGACGAGCCUCGCCAAUAAAACGCACAAUUGCAGGGCCCUUAUAAAUGUAUAUCUUAAAAAUACUUAAACUGCGGGACAUGCCAUUUAGCGAAUUUCACGGCAUUCUCAAAAUAAUAAUGCGUUAUUAUCUUUAGGCGCGUAUUUAAUAAUGUUAUCUCCCUAAACUCGGGUGCACAUUUAUGUGACCCAAAUCCAAAUCUCAACGAAGUCGAGAUGUGUGAACAACCAUGGGUGCAUUGAUGUGACAUGGUUCGAGACGAAUUUUCACGACGUUGCAAUUGUCUCUUAAAAUAAUAACACCACUUAACAUUAACUGUUGCUUUAAUUUUAACUUUUGCUAUAACUUUAACUUUUGCUUUAACUUUAACUUUUGAUUUUGCUUUAACUUUUGUUUUUUCUUUAACUUUUACUUUUUUUCUUUCUCUUUAUGCUUUAACUUUUGCUUUCGGUUCUACCUUUAGUUUAAACAAAUGAUUUUUCUUUGAAGUAUUUUCAAGUUUGUUUUCAGAUGAGCCUCAUCAAAUAAAAGGUACAAACUGCAGGGCCCUUAUAAAUGUAUAUUUUAAUUACUUAGACUUCGGGAUGGCUCGUUUACCGAAUUUCACGGCCUUAUCCAAAAUGAUGAUACGCUAGUCGCUUUAGGCGCAUCUUUAAUAAAUUACUUUCUUAAAUUCGGGUGCACAUUUAUGUGACCUAAAUCCAAAUCUCAAUAGAGUCGAAAUGUGUCGAUAACCAUGGGUACAUUGACUGUGACGGGGUUCGAGAUACGUUUUCAAACGUUACAAUUCUUUGUUAAAAUAAUAAUAAUAAUAAUAAUAAUAAUAAUAAUAAUAAUAAUAAUAAUAAUAAUAAUAAAAGCGGUAAAAGGUUAAAACUUGCAUAUAAGCUCAUAGUUGUUAAAUCAGAUAAAUAAGCUAAAUACGACAGUUGAACGACUGUGCUAGAACCACGGAACAAAGUUGAAAUUUUCACAUAAUUCAUAAUGUAAUAAAAAUCAGAUAAUUAAGCCGAAAUAAGAGUUGAGCGACCGUGCUAGAACCACGGAACUCGGGAAUGCCUAACACCUUCUCCGAGGUUAACAGAAUUCCUUAUCUGGAUUUCUGGUUCGUGGACUGUAAUAUAGAGUCAAUCUUUUCCUCGAUUCGGGAUUCAAUCGGUGACUUGGGACACCAUAAAUUAAUGUGAUCUUCUUUGACCACUGAAAAAAGGGGACUGUGGGGUUCGUGUUGACUACUUUUUGUUUAAUUAAAAUCAGAAAUAGUAAAGGUAAUAAUAAAGGGUUAAAAAAUUACAUAGUUAGAAGAACUCUGAAUAUUUAAUAAUAAUCCUAUUUCGAUUGUCCUUUAAUUGAAAAAACGCUCUUGUACCCCCGCGGGGCGGAAAAAUGAGGUGUGACAGCUGUGGUGACUCUGCUGGGGAUUGAACCAAGAAUCUCUGGUUCAGGGUUCAGAAUUCGAGCUUAGAUGAAUUGUUAUAUUUGGCUUUACCUGAUUUUCCAACAUGUUUCAUACUAAAUGUGCUAAAUGUUUUACCGCUUUGAUGUUAUCUGAACUGUAUAUAAACUGUGCCGACACCCUUCUCUUCUCACCUCUGGGGUUGUGCUUACUAGUUGAGACUCCCUAUUUCGUUAGUAUCAUACCUUAAAAUAAUAAAGAGGCACGGAAAGUUUCUAUGCAGGCUGGCCUUUUGGUUCCCGGAAAGGAGCUCCUUCCUCGACUCGAGUCGUCCGCUCGGGUACACAGUCAAGAACACAUACCCAGGUUUUGAACCUAGAAAAACGUGACUUCAUGCCGGAUCCCUAGUGGGAACGCUUAUUUUUAUCAUGUUGCAUCUGACUUAGGGGACUCAACACAGGGGUUGGGUCCGUCUAGGACUAGCAACCUGAAAUGAAAAGACCAUCCUGAUGCUUCCUAUUUGUUUUCCGUGCAUUUAUUUGUCUCGGGCCCGCAUGCUGACCAUUUUUGAAUAUCUGGAGUAUUGUAAAAUUGAGGGGAAAAAAGAGAGAGUGGUUACGGAGUUAAAUGAUUAUUUUAGAAAAACCCAAUGUCCAAAUGCUGUCGAAACUCUGCCGAAAUGUUUUAUUAGUUUUAUUAAAAAGCAAAGGAAACAUAGAAAAAAAGAGUCUUUAUUUUUAGCUUGAAAAAUAGGUUGAUUUAUUAUUUGUUGAAAAAUAAAAAGAGUCAUUGUUUUUAGUUUGGUAAAAAUAAGUUGUUUUAGUUUUUGUUGAAAAUGAAAAGGAAAAAAACUGAGUCAUUAUUUUGUCUUGUUUUCAAAAUAUAGAAAAGGAAAAUAGUUUAUUUUGCCAUGAAAAAUGAAAAUGAAAAAGUGUCUUGUUUUUUUAUGAAAUGCCAAAAGUGAAAAUGAAAAGAGUCGUGCUUUGAAAGUGGUUUUGUCGUUUGUUGCCAAAAAUGAAAAUAAAAAAGAUUUUUGUUUUAUAAUAGUUCAAUUAGUUACCCGAACUACGCUGGUUUUAUUCUCACCGGGUGUGAGAUACGUAGGAAACCCUCAUCGGGUCCAACCUCCCCUUUGCUAAAAAUAGCCAAACAAAAUAUAAUUUUAAUCUUCGUCAUAAAUAAGUCGGAUGAUACGGCUUUUGUCAAAUAUAGCCGAAUGUUCCCGAAAGGGACGCCAGAAGGCUAACUUUGCAUAAACGACCACCGUUGGUUAAUUUUUUGAGAUUUUUAGGUGGUUGACCCAUACAACCAUAAACUCUUCGUCCCUGAGGCGCUGAAAGACCACGUUUGCAUUCUUUUAUUUUAAUUUGAGAAAAAAAAAGAGGCGGUAAGCAAGUGAAUGUCUUUUGGAUUACUGGGUCAAAAUAAGCCGAGCCAACUUCGGCAAUGUCUUAAAUCGUUCUUCCCGAGAUAGCCUUAGAGUAUCUUUCAGUUGCCGAAAGGUUGUUUUCGUAAAAGAAUUGACAAGUCUGUACAAUGUCAUGAAAUAAUCCUUCCCGGCCUCAAAAUUCAUGUGAAAUUGGGAAGGGGCCACGUUUGCAAAAAUAGCCUUUUGGUUGAAAUUGGCAAAUAGGGAAAGGGAGCUGGUCGUUUGUUGUUGGUUGAAAUUCUUUUAAUUAGAGUAUGCGGGUUGUUUGAUUUUCAAGUCUGUAAGUAUUCUUUUCGUCAAAGUUUGUUAGUAUGGUCAGUUUUUAAAACUUUUUAAUCAAGUUUGUUUUAUUGUGAAAAUUGAAAAUUCCAAAAAAAAUGUGUUUCAUUGUUAUUGACCUUUUAUUUGCGGGAACUACGCAUGGUCUGAUUCAUGUGGAGUCAUGAUACGUAGGCAAUCUCCAUAAGAUUCAACCACACACACAAAAAAUGAAGAAAAAUGAUAAAAAUUAAAAAAAAUCGAAAAAUAGAAGAAGAAGAAAAAAAAAAAGAUGUUGAGGACCGACUGAGUCCAUUCUAACAUGUUUUAUUUUGAAUCGCAAAGAAAAUUAAGGUGGUUGGUUUGUGGUUUUAAAGUGGCAACCCCUCAUGAUGCUGACACUAAGGCCCACAUGCUGCUAAGCUUUCUGUGCUAUGAGAGGUUGAUUUUGAGAACGGGUCGACAAAAGGAACCCAAAAGCAAUUUGUUAAGAAUGAGGCGAUGAAGACUCAUAAAGUCUUUAGUACUGGUGAUGCAGAAUUCAGUGGCUAAGAUGUAAUGCUUGGUAAUUGGAAAGACGCUCCAUUUUUGAGCCAUCUCGAGAUGAGUUUUCGGUGGCUUAGGUUGUUGUCAUUUCUGUUGUCCGGGAUAUUUCAGGGUUGUAAUCCGGAUACUGUCUUGUGGUCAAACCCUCUUAUACUUUCAGUUGUCUAGUACCUAAUGUGGUGUUAUCUAGGUUUAUUUUAGGGUUGUAACUGUUUUAUUUUGUUGUUUAAACAGUUUCGCCAUUUGUCUAAAUGCAAAUUCCGGUCUUUUAUUAUCUCCAAUCUACUUCUUUAUUUAGUUUUCUUUACCCUUCUGCUUUGCUUUUGUUCAAACACCGAUUCAAGUAACAUGUCAUGCGCACACAGUUUGGGCCUAAUUUUAAAGUUAACCAUAAAGCCAUUGGGAGAUGAUUGGGACACUUGGAAAAGUAAGAACGAUUUAAGAUCACUUGAAGCCCGAACCGCGUGAAACUGGGCAAGUAAAACAUAAAGAAACCAUAAGAGCAAGUUGUCCAUAUUGACAAGGGGCCCGUUCGUGAUAAUGAAAGUGAGAGUGUUGCCCAACCGUGCUUUUAAAAAUGACAAAUGAAAAGGCAAAUGUGUGGAUAUAGUUAUCGAUUCUGGCACAAUCAUAAGAUGUUGCGAAUGUUUAAUUGUGUUGUUUGCACUUAGAAUGUUUGAAGAUUGGAAUGACGAAGGCAUUAGAUUCUGCUAUCUAAACACAUUAUCCUUCGUUACCCCUUUUGAGCCUUAUUUAUUUUUCUUUCAUACUCCUCUUUCGGAAUCAGUAGCAAAGAUUAGGAACAUAAACAUAGAGGAAAAAGAAAAGAAAAAAAGAAAAGGAAAACAAGAAAAACAACUAAAAAUGAAAAAGAGAUAAAGAAAAGAAAAAGAAAGGAAAAAUAAUGAGUGAAAAGGAAAACUAUAACAAUAAGGAAUUGGGAACUACAUUUGACCUGAUUCCUCAAAGAGGAUAUGUAGGCGCUUCACAGCUCGGUCAUAGUGUAAUAAAAAUCAAAAAAUCCCCAAGCAAGAAACAGGAACAAAGGUUGUGUUUGUUGUAAAUAAAUCUAGUUCCGAAGGUUGUAAUUUAACCCAAGAUUGAUGCUUUUUUGAGGCUUUAAUACCCUUUCUUUCUAGCCUAUCCAAAUCUCAUAUUACGGUCCAAAGAAAUACCUUUUGAUCAGUCUUCAAAAGAUACCAAGUUAGACAAAUGAGAGAGUCUUACCGGUGAACAUAACACGCUGAUCCCAGCCGAAAAGACUCUGAUCCCCUGCAGAAACGAAAUAAGUCUUAUGGGGAACACCCCAAUCCCCAACUGAAAAGGUAUUACAAAUGAGAGAGUCUUAGCGGUGAAAACCUUCAUAGGCACCAUAAGGCGAUGAAAGCUGAGAGAAAAAUCAAAAUGAGUGAGACUUGACAGUGAAUAAUCUUCGGGCACUACAAGUCGAAUAAAUAUUUAGAAUCAUAUGGGAAAUCACCAAACGAAGAUCUUGAAAGACGAUUAACGAUGGAGGAUAGGCCACAUGUGCAUGUCAUGACCAUUAGAGUUGGUAUCCGCAUUUGAUAGGUUUUUAUUUUAUAGUUUCUCUUGUUAGAGAGUCAUCUUUUCCUUUUGUCUUUUAUUUUGUUCCUUUUAUCUUAGUCCUUUUAUCGAAAAAUUCCCCAACAGUAUGUUUGGUCAAACAAGUGAGAAAUGACUUCAAGAUCUGCCAUCACCUUUCCAAUUAUCCAAGACGAGAUCUUAUUGGUACGUCCAAGUGGUAUAAGUCAUGAAGGAAUAAGCGCGAGGCCACUCGCUCGGAUGUAAGACUCCCGCCGCUGACAGAUGUCCAAUGCCACCUUUCAUGAACAGCUAUGUCCGAGAAUGAAUUGUGAUAUAGCACCGAAUAAGCCACUACUCUAUUCCCGACUCGAAAUCCAUAAAGAACUUUAAGGGAGAUAAAAUAGGGGGCCCUAUACCAUACAUCCUGCUGCCUUGGGACGACUGCAUGUUACAUCAUAGCAGCACGACCAAAUGGAUGUGGAAAGCCCUUGUAUAGGUUGGGCGCUAGCUAGAGCCUUCAUACACUAAUAUAAAAUGUUGGGCCUUCCCCUUAUUUAUUAGUAUUAGGCAAGUUGCUCGAGGACUUCUACUGGGAAUGAAAGUUCCCUAUUAUAGGAUCCCUAGUAAAGCCAAUUUAAUGAUGGCCGCUUAUCUGAGUAAGAAGACGAUGGCUCCUAUUAUUGGUGAGCGAUCUCCUCUACACGUUAUCUUUGGGCGUUUUACUCUCUUUCAAAGAGAUGACUAUUCAAACCUCAGAGUAUUCGGAUGCACGUGCUUUGUUAAAAUGCCAUCUCCUGCACAAGACAAACUGAGAUACACUAAUAUAAAAUGUUGGGCCUUCCCCUUAUUUAUUAGUAUUAGGCAAGUUGCUCGAGGACUUCUACUGGGAAUAAAAGCGAAGGGUCCAAAGGACACGUAGCCGGGGGAAGAAUUUUGAGAAAACCCGACAUAAGACUCGGUUUCAAGAAGGAUAUCCCCAGCAAGAGAAGAUUGUCAAAGGGAUGGGACAGCGCCAAGAGGGAUAUCCCCGUAGAAAUCAAAUAUUAUGGACCUCAAGGCCAAGGCCAGUGGAAAAAUCAAGAAAGAACAAUGCGGAGAGCGAUGGGCAUGAUUUGGGAAAUUUAUAUGAGACUCAAAGGUCAGGGAAAUGACAGCUCCCAAGCUAUGCCACAAAAGAAGAGGAAUAUACCCAGCAUAAAAGGUAUCUUCAGUGACACGGAUGAACAAAGAAAGUGGUUUAUCAGCAAAACAUGGCAGAAUCUUCAACUGGAAUCAAUUGUCAUGGAAAAGAUGCGGGGUCAGAUAAGAGGAUAAAGGUGGAAAACAACAGUUGAGAGGUUGGUAAAUAAGGAAUUGACAAAAAGGUCCGAAGUUUCAAGAUGGUCGGACGACACAAAGCAGAGCAAGUCGUUCUAAGACCACAAAAGAAUAUCAUCCCCAGCAAGUUUUGAUAGUGUGAUGGAACGCAUAGCAGGGAAGGAGAAACGGAAAAACCAUCCCCAGCAGGAAUGACAAAACCACUCACCACGUUUUAAACUGAUAAGUUUUCUUUGAUUCGAAGCAGGUAAAGGAAAUGGCAUCGAUGGCAGAAAGGCAUGCCAUAAGGAAGAUUAUCAAACUGGGGCAAAAAAUUUUCCUUUCAUUUUGAAAAUUUUCUGGAAGUCUCGUACCCAAUUAGGGAAGUAGAAAGAUAACACCAGUCUCAAGGGAAGUGGUCUUUGAACCAGUGUUACCCCCAGCAUUAGAAGUUUUAAUGAAGGAAGUUGUAUCCCCAACGUACAAAACAAAAGGAUAAAACUUGUGUUCAGAAAAAGCAAAAGGCCACUGUCAUCCCCAGCAGCCUUCAGAAGAGUGAAGCACUAGUUUUGAAGGAAUGAAAAUUUCCCAGCAAUGUUAUCCUCAACAGCAUUAUACCCAGCUGAUAACAUUUUUAUCCCAGCAGAUUAGUAAAUAAUUCCCUAGCAGUGUUAUCCCCAACAGUUUCGAGGGAAGACAACACGAGUUAUUAAGGAAAGUAUCUCUGUAAGAAGGUAAUUCAGGAAGAAGGAAAUGGUUCAUGCAUGGGAGAAGCACUUCCUAAAUUAAGAUUUUAUUCAUAGUAGAUGCACUUCCUAGUUUAAAUCAUUGAGAUUUUACCUUUAGGAGACGCACUUCCUAAGUUUAUUUUUACCCCUAAGAGACGCACUUCUUAAGUUUAUUUACCCAUAGGAGAUGCACUUCCUAAGUUUAUUUUCAUCCAUAGGAGACGCACUUCCUAAAUUAAGAUUUCAUUCAUAGGAGACGCACUUCCUAUUUUAAAAUCAUUAAGAUUACACCCCUAGGAGACACGCUUCCUAAGUUUAUUUUUACCCAUAGGAGACGCACUUCCUAAGUUUAUUUUUACUCAUAGGAGAUGCACUUCCUAAGUUUAUUUUCACUUAUAAGAGACGCACUUCCUAAAUUAAAAUUUCAGUUAUAGGAGACGCGCUUCCUAAAUUAAGAUUUCAUUCAUAGGAGACGCACUUCCUAGUUUAAAACCAUUAAAAUUUCACCCAUAUGAGACGCACUUCCUAAGUUUAUUGUUACCCCUAGGAGACGCACUUCCUAAGUUUAUUUUUCACCCAUAGGAGACGCAUUUCCUAAUUUUAUUUUUACCCAUAGGAGAUGCACUUCCUAAGUUUACUUUCAUGCAUAGGAGACGCACUUCCUAAAUUAAGUUCAUUCAUAGGAGACGCACUUCCUAGUUUAAAAUUAUUAAAGUUUUACCCAUAUGAGACUCACUUCCUAAGUUUAUUUGUACCCCUAGGAGACGCACUUCAUAAGUUUAUUUUUACCCAUAGGAGAUGCACUUCCUAAGUUUAUUUUCACCCAUAGACGCACUUCCUAUGUUUAUUUUUACCCCUAGGAGACGCACUUUCUAAGUUUAUUUUUACCCAUAGGAGACGCACUUCUUAAAUUAAUAGUUCAUAGGAGACGCACUUUCUAGUUUAAGUCAUUGAAGUUUCAUUAAUAGGAGACACACUUCCUAAAUCAAUAAUUCAGUCAUAGGAGAUGCACUUCCUAGUUGAGUCAUUGAAGUUUUACCCAUAAGAGAUGCACUUCCUAAAUUUAAAUUCACCCCUAGGAGACGCACUUCCUAGUCUUUUUUUAGGUUAUAUUUUAUUUUAGGAAACGCACUUCCUGAAUUGAGAUUUCAUCCCUAGCAAACACACUUCCUAGUUUAGGUCAUUCAAGUUCAACCAUAGGAGACACACUUCCAAGUCUAUUUCACUGAAGUUUUACUUGUAGGACUGGCACUUCCUAAUCAAAGUCUUUCAAGUUAUUCUUUUAGGAGACACACUUCCUGAAUUGAGAGUUCAUUCGUAGGAGACAUACUUCCUAGUUUUAGUCACUGAAAUUUUCACCCCGAGAAGACACACUUCCUAGUAUUGGUCAUUUAAAUUCAUCUUUAGAAGACGCACUCCCUAGGUUUGGUUCAUUCAGGUUUUAUGUUAGCAGACGCAUCUGCUAGUCAGAGUUUUUUUUUUGUUUUACUCGUAGGAGACGCACAUCUUAAUCUAGUCUUUAGUUUACCUUCAUCAUUGCAUCAAUAGUAUAAGCGGUUUACAAUUUUGCUAACGACUCACGAAUCUUCCUAGUGCAAACUGGGGCCAGAAAUUUUAUUUGUUUUGUUUGUUUUGGUUGUAGGAUCACGUCCGAAGAGCGGAGGGCUACAACAAAAAAUCCCAUCAUUCAAUCCAAGUUAUAAGUAGCAGUAGCUCGCCUCAAGAAUGCGGGUCAAGAGCCCGAGAUGAUCAACAAAAGUCAGUCACAAUAAAGAAAAUGAAAAAAAAAGAAAAGAAUAAAAAUGUGAAUUCAAAGUGUAGAAGUGGAGAAGAUGUAGCCUGCUCAAGACAUAAUUGAGAUCACUCGCACUGCAUGUCCCGUCUUAAUUUUGAAAAGCUGAAGAAGAUUGAAUCAAUACUUCCAGCUAACAAGUAUCAAGAUUCAAAUCAGAGUCCGCAUGAAGCAUCAUUCAAUACUCAAGACCAAGUUUCAGAAGACUCAUAGAUAAGAAUUUUGUAACAAAUAGCUAAUAGGCUUAGUUAGUCUUUUUCAUUUUUGAUUUUGAUGUAAUAGCAGGACCACGAACCGGAACCUUGACGGAACGGCACCUCGAUCGGCUCUUCACUUUGGUACACUCCUCAUCUCACUCACUUCUGAACUACACGUGUCCUGAUUCCUUUAUAGCCAAGGAUAUAUAGGCAGCUCAGAUACCAGGGCUCGGUCAGAUUCUAUUCCUUUCCUUUAAGUUUAGUCUAUCCAAAUAAGGGUCGGGUCUAAAAACAUGUCUAGUCGUUCUUUUUCUGAAAACUCUUCGUAUUUCCAAUCAAAGAGGGGCAGCUGUAGAUAUGUGAUUUUUGACCCUCGUAGAGAUUUUUUUAUAUCUUAGCAUAUAAGUAUUUAAUUUAGAGAUAAUAUUGAUAUUUUAGCUAGUUUUGACCCUUUUACUUUAUUUUGCUAAUUUUGGCUCUUUUACUUUAUUUCGUUACAAAAAGAAAAAUUACAAAAAAAAGGUAUAUAAAGUUUAGUUUAUGUAUUUCUCAUAAACUUGAAAAAUACAAAAAUAACAUAUUAUUUUAAUUUUUGUAUAAUUUCGAAAAUACAAAAAAAAAAUAUAUAGUUUCAUUAAUAUUUUGUAGUUAUUUUAAACUUAAGAAAUACAAAAUAUAGUAUUUUAUAUUUUACCUUUAUAUAAAAACGAAAAAAUUGCAAAAGAUAAUUUUAUUUUAUAGUUAUUUUAAAUCUUGAAAAAUAUCAAAAAUAGUUUUGUUUUAAUUGUUAGUCUUAUUUUGAUAGUUAUUUUGCUUACGUAGAAUUAAUUAAAUAAGAUCGUGUUUUAGUCUCGGUUCUGAGCAAAGAAUAAUAUUUGGGUUCAAACUACCCAGCCUAAUUUUCGGACAUAUUACAUAAUUAUUCAAACUCACCACACAUUACACGUAACACAAGAUAGGCGUGGGGAACACAAUAAUAGGUGUGGGGGACACACGAAUUGGGGGGGAGAAUAAUACAUGGACAAAAAUGUGAGGACUUCAGAUUUUUUGGACACAUUUUCGAACACUACACCUUAGAAAAAAUAUACUAUCAUCUUCUUGAUUUUUUUUUAAAAACCAAACGAAACCCUACUGAAAAUGAAAGGGCCUUCACGUUCAAAACCUCCUGCCUCACGCCAAACGACCAACCCCACUGCCCGUGACAUUCACGUCGACCAGCCAUAGCAACGAACACCACCUGAACAGCCACCCCGCCUGCCAUUCUCGUCAAUCUCUAACCCGUCGUCCCUCUACCCAGCUGACCUCCCGUUUACACCCAAACAAACAGAGGCGGAUCCAAGAUUUAAAUUCUAUGGGUUCAAAUCUAUUAUUUUGCAAUUUUAAUAAAUUUUACAUAUAAAUUUCUACUCCGCGUCGAAAGUUAUGGGUUCAAUUGAACCCGUACCUUUCAAGCUGGAUCUGCCUCUGCAAUCAAACCCUCCAGUUGAAACCACGCCAAAUAGCCCAGCACCACGACGAGCGGCAGCGAAACCACCAACCCCGCCUGCUUCCAACUGCUGUUGCUUCCCCACCUUCCUACUGCCUGAACACCACGUCGAACCACCUACUGUUUCUCCGAGUUUGUCGAGGUUCCGCGUCGAGUCGUUGUUCGUAGUUUCGGUCUGGUUCGAGUUCUGUAUGGAGAGGUCGAAGUUUGAGAUUGUCAUAAAAGGUUCGUUUUCUUGUUGUAUACACUGAAAAUAUGCAGAAAUAAAGGUGCAUUUUCUUUUCUGAUAUUGUUCUUCUCGCUAAUGUUUUGGAUCGUUUCGAAUUUGAUUUAGUUUUGUAUGAUUCAGAAGAUUUUUGUAAAUAUAUGAUUAUGUUGAAUUUGUGAUUUCAAAAUUAAUGGUGGCCUUGUAGUGUCGAAAUUAGCUAAUAAAAUAACUAAUCUUUCAAAUGCUCGCCAAUUAGUUAUGAUUCCGUUGUAUAUGUAAUUGUUCGCCGUAGUCUUGAAUUUUCUUACUUAGUUAUCUACCCGUAUGUUUACCCGAAUUGGUUAUAGUUGGACACGAUGUUGUCGUAAUAUAGAUAUUUGUCCAGCUUUGGGUUUUAAUUAGAUGGCGGAUCCAAA